This 496-nucleotide ribosomal RNA is filed under the name uncultured bacterium. Its description in RNAcentral is "partial 16S ribosomal RNA". It matches the Rfam family "Bacterial small subunit ribosomal RNA", at positions 28 to 507 of the family's 1533-position model. The record is from RNAcentral.
GAUGAACGCUGGCGGCGUGCCUAAUACAUGCAAGUCGAGCGAACAGACGAGGAGCUUGCUCCUCUGACGUUAGCGGCGGACGGGUGAGUAACACGUGGAUAACCUACCUAUAAGACUGGGAUAACUUCGGGAAACCGGAGCUAAUACCGGAUAAUAUAUUGAACCGCAUGGUUCAAUAGUGAAAGACGGUUUUGCUGUCACUUAUAGAUGGAUCCGCGCCGCAUUAGCUAGUUGGUAAGGUAACGGCUUACCAAGGCACGAUGCGUAGCCGACCUGAGAGGGUGAUCGGCCACACUGGAACUGAGACACGGUCCAGACUCCUACGGGAGGCAGCAGUAGGGAAUCUUCCGCAAUGGGCGAAAGCUUGACGGAGCAACGCCGCGUGAGUGAUGAAGGUCUUCGGAUCGUAAAACUCUGUUAUUAGGGAAGAACAAAUGUGUAAGUAACUAUGCACGUCUUGACGGUACCUAAUCAGAAAGCCACGGCUAACUACGUG